Long non-coding RNA from Hyla sarda, 318 nucleotides. RefSeq lists it as uncharacterized. The record is from RefSeq and is a predicted model, not a curated record. The transcript is spliced from 3 exons. NCBI's taxonomy places the organism in Eukaryota, Metazoa, Chordata, Amphibia, Anura, Hylidae.
AAAUCAUGGCUUAUAGAAAACACCACUAGGGGGUCCCCAUACUAUCCAGAACAUAAUCCUGUCUGGCUGCAGCAUCAUUUUUGUCUCGGUGGAAGCACAGGCUAAGACAAAGUCUAAUUCUAAGUUUGCUGUGAAGCCGGAGGGUAGCUCUGUCUCUAUGAGGACCAUGUUUGUUUCACGGCGUGAUCCUAUAUACCUGCAACAGGCAGCCUUUGAAGUUGUUUCUUCUGCAGUAGGAACCGAGUUUGUUCAUCCACAUGAAAGUGCACAGUAUUCUCUCCAUCCGGAAUGAACAUAAUCUCUAAUCCACCAUGCUUA